CCCCUUGAAGCCGUCGGCAUUUGCGCCUAAGUAGGGCCUGUCGGGCUUGCUCGACUAUGGACAUAAACGCGCUCGUAAUACGCGGAUCGGACCCGGGGGCGGUACCCGGCGUCUCCACCAUAACACCGCUGCAUCCGGCCUUCAUUUGAGGCGGUUGUGGUUUGGAUCAUGGGGACGAAAUAGGAUCGACGGACGUCUAAAGGGGUUUGCUUUGUUUCGGUGAGUUACCACCGUUAUCGGUACACUUAAGCUAGUUGCAAAUGACAACAAAGCUCCGAUGGCUCUCGCAGCGUAAGCUGUGCGAAAUAUCGAAACCUAAGUCCUUGGGUUUAGCGACCUAAGGCGGGGUUCGCAGGUACCUGGCAACAGAAACCUGCACU
Aquimixticola soesokkakensis is the source of this 380-nucleotide non-coding RNA. It matches the Rfam family "Alphaproteobacteria transfer-messenger RNA". Rfam says of the family: Bacterial tmRNA, also known as 10Sa RNA or SsrA, is named for its dual tRNA and mRNA-like properties. Lineage: Bacteria; Pseudomonadati; Pseudomonadota; Alphaproteobacteria; Rhodobacterales; Paracoccaceae. The record is from Rfam.